This 1370-nucleotide long non-coding RNA is filed under the name Heterocephalus glaber (naked mole-rat). RNAcentral's name for it is "lncRNA (ENSHGLG00100051989.1)". The record is from RNAcentral. Lineage: Eukaryota; Metazoa; Chordata; Mammalia; Rodentia; Bathyergidae.
GUAGAUUGUGUGGCUGGAAGUUGUGCCAGGUACCCCAAGGAAUGCAAGAAAGACCAGGGUUACUGAAACCAGGAGAAGGAGGUGAAUGCCAGACCAGGUAGGGCUGGAGAAAUGGCAGUGGGCAGCUCUGCUGAGCCUUGAGGCUACAGCGAACAAUUUAUUCUCAUCCUAGGACUAUGAGGAGUCCGAAGGGCUUAAACAUGGGGAGGGUCAGGCUGAGAUUUGCUUUUUAAAAGUCGUUUUGACUGCUUUGUAGAGUCACCUGGAAGGAGAAGAGGGUGGGAUGUUAGAACAGCUGUGCUCUCACAAAGGGCAGUGAAAUUCAGAGGUGACAGGGCAGGAUCAGGGAGGGGUGUGAUCAGAGUGGAGAUAAAAGAGGGUGAGCAGAGUCCAGAGAUUUGUGAGGAAAAGUGACAGAUCAUUAUGACAGAGUAAGCAAGAAACCAGGGCUACAAGCAGUUAGCAGGUGUCAAGGAUGACUGGUGGAUUUUUCUGGAUCAUACAAUAGAUUUUCUGUUUUGGUGUUUGUUUUGAGACAGGAUUUCCUUAAAUUGCCCCAAGUGGACUUGAAGUUGAGGUGCUCCUGGGAUUACAGGUGUGAACCACCAUGACUGGCUUAUGUGCCGAAAAUCUAGAGGAUAAAACUCCCUAUUUCUGUUCUGGAGUGCAUUGAUUUUCAGAUUCAUAAAAUUUGUGCUGGAGUUUCAUCUUUCAAGGAGAAAAGCUGAAGUAAUUGGGGAGCAGUGCUUCUGAGAGUUUCCAUCAAAAGAGGAGGAAAAUGAUUUACACCAUUAAGGUCACUUUCAAUCCCUUUUUGUGUGAUGCUCCUGUUCCUGUCUUGGAACAGGUAGAUUUUCUCCUGCGUCCUGGAAGACCUAACUGGAGACAUUACAGCAGCCCUAGCUGGCCGGGUAAGUAGUUCUGGAAUUGUCUGAGGCUGUGACUGAAAGGGGAUGGAGAUUCUUGAAGGUGAAUUUCAGAGAAUGGGGAUAAAGUCCCCAAAUCUGCCUCCCCACAUGCAGAGUCUGUUUGGGACAUCUGUAGCCUGGACAAGGAAGAUGUUGGAGAAGUGGUGGUCUUAGAAUUCUCCCUAAUUUAUGUAAACCUGAAGUUAGACCCUGCUUUGGAAUGUUCGGUUUGUCUUUUGUGUGUGUGUGUGUGUGUGUGUGUGUGUGUGUGGUACCGGGGAUUGAACUUGGGACCUUGUGAUUGCAAGGCAGACGCUGGCACCACUGAGCUAACCCCUGACCUUCACUUUGUCUUGAGUAGACUCCAUAGUGCAUGGUGCUGCCAUCAAUCAGACAUUCCCCUGGGGAGUGUCCAAAACUCCCUUCUCUGAGGCAUCUUAGGCUUCAGCCUACCUCACCUGC